GUUGAAUCAGAUGUUACUUCUGCAAAAUGCAUUUUGUCCUCAUAGGCCCACUGAAGGACUAAUACACAAGGUCCAUUUGCGAUUACUGUGAUAAGCCCAGCUUUUGCACACCAUGGCCGAUUGGCAUGUAGUAGCAAGUUUCAAGUCAAUCCUACUCAACUCAUUCAUAGCAAGUCUUUGAAAAACGAGUUUGAGCCUUUGUCAGGAAGCCAAACUGUGUUGGGAAAAAAGCAUGGGAAGGGACGAAAGCGCUAACUGGAUUUAGCCAAAAAGUCUCGGCACAUGCUAGCACUUUAUAACUGUCCUGUCAUCCAUCUCACCACCUGCUGUGUCAGUAGACUGUGGGUAGGCGGAUUUCUUUUUUUCUUUUAUUCUUCCUUUUCUUUUUCUUUCAAAAAUGUACACCUGGGUAGCCUUCACCAGCAUGGCAGUGGGAGUGUGAUGCUCACUUUUUUACCAUAUUUCAUUUUUUUAUACUGUCUCAAUGGGGGAGUUUGUGAAGCGUCUCGCCUCAGAGUGCAGCUGAGAGGCAAACAUGGGUCUCCUUGGGGAAAAGGUUCGUUGCACAAGCACAGCGAGCUGUGAGACCGUCAGUUGAGCCCCCGAAAAUACCUUUUUUAUUUUCUUUUUUUUAUUUUCUUUUUACGUCAGUUUGUCCUUGCAAAAAAAAGAAAAGAAUAAAUGUUUGAAAAAAACUAGCAGACUUCAAAAACCAGGAAGCGUUGAGCAGAAAAGACAGUCGGACUAAUGAUGACAGAUGGUUUCGGUGUGCUGUUCUGGAACAGUCUUGAUGAGGCUGCUGUUGUUUGUACCUACCUGUUGUCUGGGUUGUCAUUUCUGUCACAGUGAAAGGGUGUAUGUAAUUCUGUAUAUAUGCCAAGCAUUGCAUAACAAAUGUCAGCUCAUUUCAAGUUCUCUGUAAAUGACGAUUAAAAGAAGAUACAAAAAAAAGAAAAUAUGCUGGUUUAAUUCCAACUUCAUAGUGUUGUGAUUAAUAUGGACUCAGUUUGUUUUUACAGAAGUCUACAAAAGCUCAAUUCUGUCACUGUUGUACUGUUCUGUUGAUAUAUAAAAUUGUGUGUCUUGUACCGUAGUUAACC
This is a long non-coding RNA of Clupea harengus (Atlantic herring), 1100 nucleotides long. The record is from Ensembl. NCBI's taxonomy places the organism in Eukaryota, Metazoa, Chordata, Actinopteri, Clupeiformes, Clupeidae.